AGUGAACACUGGCGGUAGGCCUAACACAUGCAAGUCGAACGGCAGCACAGUAAGAGCUUGCUCUUACGGGUGGCGAGUGGCGGACGGGUGAGGAAUACAUCGGAAUCUACUUUUUCGUGGGGGAUAACGUAGGGAAACUUACGCUAAUACCGCAUACGACCUACGGGUGAAAGCAGGGGAUCUUCGGACCUUGCGCGAUUGAAUGAGUCGAUGUCGGAUUAGCUAGUUGGCGGGGUAAAGGCCCACCAAGGCGACGAUCCGUAGCUGGUCUGAGAGGAUGAUCAGCCACACUGGAACUGAGACACGGUCCAGACUCCUACGGGAGGCAGCAGUGGGGAAUAUUGGACAAUGGGCGCAAGCCUGAUCCAGCCAUACCGCGUGGGUGAAGAAGGCCUUCGGGUUGUAAAGCCCUUUUGUUGGGAAAGAAAAGCAGCAGGUUAAUACCCCGCUGUUCUGACGGUACCCAAAGAAUAAGCACCGGCUAACUUCGUG
RNAcentral lists this ribosomal RNA (492 nucleotides) under uncultured bacterium. RNAcentral describes it as "partial 16S ribosomal RNA". It matches the Rfam family "Bacterial small subunit ribosomal RNA", at positions 29 to 507 of the family's 1533-position model. The record is from RNAcentral.